Perca fluviatilis (European perch) is the source of this 182-nucleotide long non-coding RNA. RefSeq lists it as uncharacterized. NCBI's taxonomy places the organism in Eukaryota, Metazoa, Chordata, Actinopteri, Perciformes, Percidae. The record is from RefSeq and is a predicted model, not a curated record. The transcript has 3 exons.
GGGGACAUGACUGGAGUGAAGGACAUCUGAUUUACCUUGCUGCAACUGCAACCUGGAUACGUGGCUGAUUCUGCUGCCUGUCUUUGUAAGGCAGAAGAGAUAAGUCUGAAAAGAUAAAGGGUGCCCUUCCAGUGAAGAAAAUGCGAUGCAGUGCCAUAUAGGCCUUACAUGCUAGAAAAGGG